CCUUCCUUCCUUCCUUCCUUC
Molecule: unclassified non-coding RNA, 21 nt
Filed under: synthetic construct
Source: RNAcentral